This 72-nucleotide transfer RNA is filed under the name Bos taurus (domestic cattle). It matches the Rfam family "tRNA". Rfam says of the family: Transfer RNA (tRNA) molecules are approximately 80 nucleotides in length. RNAcentral also lists the same sequence under 5 other names. Lineage: Eukaryota; Metazoa; Chordata; Mammalia; Artiodactyla; Bovidae. The record is from Rfam by way of RNAcentral.
UCCCUGGUGGCUCAGACGGUAAAGCGUCUGCCUGCCAUGCGGGAGACCUGGGUUCAUUGCCCAGGUCGGGAA